ACUGCUCAGUAACACGUGGACAACCUGCCCUUAGGUUGGGUAUAAACCCGGGAAACUGGGUAUAAUACCCGAUAGGUCUCGAUUGCUGGAAUGCAUCGAGAUUUAAAGCUCCGGCGCCUAAGGAUGGGUCUGCGGCCUAUCAGGUAGUAGUGGGUGUAGCGUACCUACUAGCCUACGACGGUACGGGUUGUGAGAGCAAGAGCCCGGAGAUGGAUUCUGAGACACGAAUCCAGGCCCUACGGGGUGCAGCAGGCGCGAAAACUUUACAAUGCUGGCAACAGCGAUAAGGGAACCUCGAGUGCCAGGUUACAAAUCUGGCUGUCGAGAUGCCUAAAAAGCAUUUCAUAGCAAGGGCCGGGCAAGACCGGUGCCAGCCGCCGCGGUAACACCGGCGGCUCGAGUGGUAACCGUUAUUAUUGGGUCUAAAGGGUCUGUAGCCGGCCGGAUAAGUCUCUUGAGAAAUCUGGCAGCUUAACUGUCAGGCUUUCAGGAGAUACUGUCUGGCUCGAGGCCGGGAGAGGUGAGAGGUACUUCAGGGGUAGGGGUGAAAUCUUGUAAUCCUUGAAGGACCACCAGUGGCGAAGGCGUCUCACCAGAACGGACCUGACGGCAAGGGACGAAAGCUAGGGGCACGAACCGGAUUAGAUACCCGGGUAGUCCUAGCCGUAAACGAUACUCGCUAGGUGUCGGCCACGGUGCGACCGUUGUCGGUGCCGUAGGGAAGCCGUGAAGCGAGCCACCUGGGAAGUACGGCCGCAAGGCUGAAACUUAAAGGAAUUGGCGGGGGAGCAC
This 792-nucleotide ribosomal RNA is filed under the name uncultured archaeon. Its description in RNAcentral is "bacterial SSU rRNA". It matches the Rfam family "Archaeal small subunit ribosomal RNA", at positions 85 to 879 of the family's 1478-position model. The record is from RNAcentral.